GCCGGGCGCUGUGGCGGGCGCCUGUAGUCCUAGCUACUCAGGAGGCUGAGGCAGGAGAAUGGCGUGAACCCAGGAGGCGGAGCUUGCAGUGAGCCGAGAUCGCGCCACUGCACUCCAGCCUGGGCAACAGCGUGAGACUCUGUCUCAA
RNAcentral lists this small RNA (148 nucleotides) under Macaca fascicularis (crab-eating macaque). RNAcentral's name for it is "Metazoan signal recognition particle RNA (ENSMFAG00000049062.1)". The record is from Rfam by way of RNAcentral. Lineage: Eukaryota; Metazoa; Chordata; Mammalia; Primates; Cercopithecidae.